GACGAACGCUGGCGGCGUGCUUAACACAUGCAAGUCGAACGGAAAGGCCCUGCUUUUGUGGGGUGCUCGAGUGGCGAACGGGUGAGUAACACGUGAGUAACCUGCCCUUGACUUUGGGGUAACUUCAGGAAACUGGGGCUAAUACCGGAUAGGAGCUCCUGCUGCAUGGUGGGGGUUGGAAAGUUUCGGCGGUUGGGGAUGGACUCGCGGCUUAUCAGCUUGUUGGUGGGGUAGUGGCUUACCAAGGCUUUGACGGGUAGCCGGCCUGAGAGGGUGACCGGCCACAUUGGGAAUGGGAUACGGGCCAGAAUCCUACGGGAGGCAGGAGUGGGGAAUAAUGCACAAUGGGCGGAAGCCUGAUGGAGCAACGCCGCGUGCGGGAUGACGGCCUUCGGGUUGUAAACCGCUUUCGCCUGUGACGAAGCGUGAGUGACGGUAAUGGGUAAAGAAGCACCGGCUAACUACGUG
RNAcentral lists this ribosomal RNA (468 nucleotides) under uncultured bacterium. RNAcentral's name for it is "partial 16S ribosomal RNA". It matches the Rfam family "Bacterial small subunit ribosomal RNA", at positions 28 to 507 of the family's 1533-position model. The record is from RNAcentral.